UGGGGAAUAUUGCACAAUGGGCGCAAGCCUGAUGCAGCCAUGCCGCGUGUAUGAAGAAGGCCUUCGGGUUGUAAAGUACUUUCAGUCGGGAGGAAGGUGUCAAGGUUAAUAACCUUGGCAAUUGACGUUACCGACAGAAGAAGCACCGGCUAACUCCGUGCCAGCAGCCGCGGUAAUACGGAGGGUGCAAGCGUUAAUCGGAAUUACUGGGCGUAAAGCGCACGCAGGCGGUUGAUUGAGUCAGAUGUGAAAUCCCCGGGCUUAACCCGGGAAUUGCAUCUGAUACUGGUCAGCUAGAGUCUUGUAGAGGGGGGUAGAAUUCCAUGUGUAGCUGUGAAAUGCGUAGAGAUGUGGAGGAAUACCGGUGGCGAAGGCGGCCCCCUGGACAAAGACUGACGCUCAGGUGCGAAAGCGUGGGGAGCAAACAGG
Molecule: ribosomal RNA, 429 nt
Filed under: Chloroflexota bacterium
Lineage: Bacteria; Bacillati; Chloroflexota
Description: Chloroflexi bacterium partial 16S ribosomal RNA
Rfam family: Bacterial small subunit ribosomal RNA
Source: RNAcentral